Molecule: ribosomal RNA, 118 nt
Organism: Gadus morhua (Atlantic cod)
Lineage: Eukaryota; Metazoa; Chordata; Actinopteri; Gadiformes; Gadidae
Source: Ensembl
GUUAUGUACCAUACCACCCUUAACACCUCCGAUCUCGUCAGAUCUCGGAAGCUAAGCUGGGUCGGGCUUGGUUAGUACUUGGUUGGGAGACCUCCUGGAAGACCAGGUGCUGUAAGUA